RNA transcript from Trifolium pratense (red clover), 1481 nucleotides. It is a transcript of the gene named mitochondrial inner membrane protease subunit 1, with no coding region annotated. NCBI's taxonomy places the organism in Eukaryota, Viridiplantae, Streptophyta, Magnoliopsida, Fabales, Fabaceae. The record is from RefSeq and is a predicted model, not a curated record. The transcript is spliced from 4 exons.
UACAGUUUCAUAUUAGGAUUCAGAAACAACCUCUUUCUCUCACACUCACUCACACAGACAUGAGUUUUAUGAAUCACAUAAGAACCGUUGCCAAAGAAGCAUUAGACCGUACAUCAAUAAUCGCGAAAUUUCUAUGUUGUCUUCACUUCACAAGCAGCUACCUUUGUUCUCCAACACACGCGUAUGGACCUAGUAUGCUCCCUACCCUAAAUAUUGCUGGCGAUGUUGUUCUUGUUGAGCAUCUUUCUCCAAGGAUUGGGAAAGUUGGUUAUGGUGAUUUGGUUCUUGUUAGGUCACCUUUGAACCCUAAUCGGAAUUUGACAAAACGUGUUGUUGCUAUGGAAGGGGAUACUGUUACUUAUUUUGAUCCUUUGAAUUCCGAUUCUUCUCGAAAUGCUGUGGUGCCGAAGGGGCAUGUUUGGAUUCAAGGAGAUAACAUCUACGCUUCUCGUGAUUCACGUCAUUUUGGUCCCGUUCCAUAUGGUCUUAUAAAAGGAAAAGUGUUUUUCCGGGUAACUGUCAUUCACCAUACUAUAUUCUUCUAUUUUUAUAGUUUGGUUUUGGUUCAUUCGGUUUCUCUCCAUUAUUCUAAUUCUUUAGGGGUUUAUAGUUCAGUUUAUUUCUCGUUUUCUUUCAUGUGGUUCAAUAUUAUUUUUCCUGAAUAAUUUAGAGUGAGCUAGGGUUCUAAUAAUAUUGUUCCGUUAAUACAUGACUGCUUCUAUGUUUUUUUUCCGGACUUGUGCAUAUACUUGCAAACAUCUACUGAUUCUAUGUUUGUAAAGUUUUAAAUCUAGUGGAUAAAGCAAUUCUAGAUGUUUGUUGCUGAUCUAGAUGUCAUAUACUCAAUAAUUUCAUCUAUCAUUGUAGUUAGGAAAUCAUUUUCUGAUUCGAACUAGGUCCUUCUGAUCAGUUACUUACAUGAUAUGCUUUGUAUUACUAUAAUUUUACUUUAUACCGAAAAAACUACAUAUUUGUUGCACACUUUUUUGGCAUGCGAAAUUUUUUCUAUUUAAUUGAAUCUAGUGUUAAAGAUAUUUCAAAUACUUUUUUUCUAUCAGGUUUGGCCACCCAGUAGUUUUGGACUGCUAGAUAAUUGAAGAUAUUUUAAAGAAGUGCUCCUUAAAAUGCAUCUAAGUAUACUUGGAUGGAGUAAAAGUGAUUUCCAUGAAUGUAGCUUUUUGCAAGGGGAACACCUGAAGGGGCAUGCUUCCUUUCGUGCCGACAAAGGAUACAUCUUUUGGGGUCUGUUUAAGUAUUGUGUGUGUUCCUCUUCAAACUUUGUAAAAGAACAGAGUGUCACUUAUAUGUUACCAAAUUGAUUAGGAACCAUGCAUUUUACCCAUUUAUUAUUAUUUUUUUUGAAUUUUUUAUGCAGGGUAGGUUUUCUUUGUUUUUAGUUGUCAUAUUUUGAAUUUAUUAUACCCUAAAAAUUGUAGACAUAGAUUCAAAGAAGUACUUCAUCUAUCUUGCCUCAUUUAUCA